This is a long non-coding RNA of Astatotilapia calliptera (eastern happy), 1036 nucleotides long. NCBI's taxonomy places the organism in Eukaryota, Metazoa, Chordata, Actinopteri, Cichliformes, Cichlidae. The record is from Ensembl.
GGUAUUUCCAAGUGUUACAGCUGCAGAGAGAAGGAACAGGGAAUGCUGUUUUGGAUCACACUGGGAUUACGGUCUGCAAAUUACAGAAAUUGAUCUCUCCUUUACACGCUCAUUUGUGCCUGAUUCCAUUCAGCUCUGUCUUUUGGACAUCUGCCAGUGGCACCACACAUUCCAAGCACUGGGGUAAGGUUUCUAGAAUGGAAGUUGACUGGCAGUUUUGCUCUUUGUUUUGAAUACUGCUGUAGGCUUUUCGGAAGAGGAGUUUCUUUGUGUGGUAGAUGUGGUUCAGAGGUAAUAAGUUUGAACUUGCAUUGUGGCAGUUUUUUGUAUUUUAUAAUGAUGAUCUUAACCGCUAGCAUCCUUUUAUAGUUUAAUUAAACAUCAAAGACCGAUUUCAAGUCUAGCACCUUAACUUGGAAUUAGGGCUUGUUUGCUUUUCAUUCCCAUGGUAGGAACGACUACGUAACUGCUUUUUUUGGUCUGUUUUUUUUUUUUUUUUGAAUCUGAUUGUAAAAGCAUUGCAUGGAACAAUGAGAGUCUGAGAUACAGUAAAAGCUGCUGGUGUUAAAGCAAACUAAAUUCAGUUACAAAGUAUAUUUUGGCUUUCGUGUAAGGAAGCUGGGAUGGUCAAAUAUCACUUUCAUUUACAGUAAUUCCAGGUACAAUACCAUGGUAUGGUAUUACAUUUCCAUCAUCUAAUGACUUACAGGUGGUAUCCUGUAUUGCUUAAAUACUUCCCUUGUCUUACUAUUCCCUCCAUUUCCAAAGCAAAUUGCUCCAUUUUUCUCCUUUGAAAUGACCCAAAACUGCCCUGGACAGUCCUGAAAAUGAUCCUCAUUUAGCCAAUUAGAGCUGCGCCAGGAACAAGCUCUCUCUUUCUGUCAUCAGACUGUGUGUCAUCAUUGCUGCACACCGCUAGAGUACUGGACACCCUGUGAUGUACUGUCAUCUAGGCCUAGACAGCUAGGCCUGUCAGUGUCAAAGCAACCUGUAGUAUGUCUGUGGCACUGCCAACACGGCACACGGCGCUGUCACA